This 440-nucleotide ribosomal RNA is filed under the name uncultured bacterium. RNAcentral's name for it is "partial 16S ribosomal RNA". It matches the Rfam family "Bacterial small subunit ribosomal RNA", at positions 338 to 795 of the family's 1533-position model. The record is from RNAcentral.
CCUACGGGAGGCAGCAGUGGGGAAUAUUGCACAAUGGGGGAAACCCUGAUGCAGCGACGCCGCGUGAGUGAAGAAGUAUUUCGGUACGUAAAGCUCUAUCAGCAGGGAAGAAAAUGACGGUACCUGACUAAGAAGCCCUGGCUAACUACGUGCCAGCAGCCGCGGUAAUACGUAGGGGGCAAGCGUUAUCCGGAUUUACUGGGUGUAAAGGGAGCGUAGACGGCAGCGCAAGUCUGUAGUGAAAUCCCAUGGCUUAACCAUGGAACUGCUUUGGAAACUGUGCAGCUAGAGUGCAGGAGAGGUAAGCGGAAUUCCUAGUGUAGCGGUGAAAUGCGUAGAUAUUAGGAGGAACACCAGUGGCGAAGGCGGCUUACUGGACUGUAACUGACGUUGAGGCUCGAAAGCGUGGGGAGCAAACAGGAUUAGAUACCCCUGUAGUC